CAGCAGCCACGGUAAUACGAAGGGGGCUAGCGUUGUUCGGAAUUACUGGGCGUAAAGCGCACGUAGGCGGAUAUCUAAGUCAGGGGUGAAAUCCCAGAGCUCAACUCUGGAACUGCCUUUGAUACUGGGUAUCUUGAGUAUGGAAGAGGUGAGUGGAAUUCCGAGUGUAGAGGUGAAAUUCGUAGAUAUUCGGAGGAACACCAGUGGCGAAGGCGGCUCACUGGUCCAUUACUGACGCUGAGGUGCGAAAGCGUGGGGAGCAAACAGGAUUAGAUACCCCGGUAGUCCCUGUCUCUUAUAC
This 301-nucleotide ribosomal RNA is filed under the name uncultured bacterium. RNAcentral describes it as "partial 16S ribosomal RNA". It matches the Rfam family "Bacterial small subunit ribosomal RNA", at positions 509 to 807 of the family's 1533-position model. The record is from RNAcentral.